This 894-nucleotide ribosomal RNA is filed under the name Bacillus sp. K-M. RNAcentral's name for it is "bacterial SSU rRNA". It matches the Rfam family "Bacterial small subunit ribosomal RNA", at positions 60 to 934 of the family's 1533-position model. The record is from RNAcentral. Lineage: Bacteria; Bacillati; Bacillota; Bacilli; Caryophanales; Bacillaceae.
AGUCGAGCGGACAGAUGGGAGCUUGCUCCCUGAUGUUAGCGGCGGACGGGUGAGUAACACGUGGGUAACCUGCCUGUAAGACUGGGAUAACUCCGGGAAACCGGGGCUAAUACCGGAUGGUUGUUUGAACCGCAUGGUUCAAACAUAAAAGGUGGCUUCGGCUACCACUUACAGAUGGACCCGCGGCGCAUUAGCUAGUUGGUGAGGUAACGGCUCACCAAGGCAACGAUGCGUAGCCGACCUGAGAGGGUGAUCGGCCACACUGGGACUGAGACACGGCCCAGACUCCUACGGGAGGCAGCAGUAGGGAAUCUUCCGCAAUGGACGAAAGUCUGACGGAGCAACGCCGCGUGAGUGAUGAAGGUUUUCGGAUCGUAAAGCUCUGUUGUUAGGGAAGAACAAGUACCGUUCGAAUAGGGCGGUACCUUGACGGUACCUAACCAGAAAGCCACGGCUAACUACGUGCCAGCAGCCGCGGUAAUACGUAGGUGGCAAGCGUUGUCCGGAAUUAUUGGGCGUAAAGGGCUCGCAGGCGGUUUCUUAAGUCUGAUGUGAAAGCCCCCGGCUCAACCGGGGAGGGUCAUUGGAAACUGGGGAACUUGAGUGCAGAAGAGGAGAGUGGAAUUCCACGUGUAGCGGUGAAAUGCGUAGAGAUGUGGAGGAACACCAGUGGCGAAGGCGACUCUCUGGUCUGUAACUGACGCUGAGGAGCGAAAGCGUGGGGAGCGAACAGGAUUAGAUACCCUGGUAGUCCACGCCGUAAACGAUGAGUGCUAAGUGUUAGGGGGUUUCCGCCCCUUAGUGCUGCAGCUAACGCAUUAAGCACUCCGCCUGGGGAGUACGGUCGCAAGACUGAAACUCAAAGGAAUUUGACGGGGGCCCGCACAAGCGGUG